Long non-coding RNA from Mytilus californianus (California mussel), 200 nucleotides. RefSeq lists it as uncharacterized. The record is from RefSeq and is a predicted model, not a curated record. The transcript is spliced from 2 exons. NCBI's taxonomy places the organism in Eukaryota, Metazoa, Mollusca, Bivalvia, Mytilida, Mytilidae.
UAGAAUGUAUGUCAAAGUUUCAUUUUAUUUAGACAAAACACACAGAGUAUUAACAGAUGAACAUGUGGAGAACAAUUGCUUGGUAAAGAUGGAUAAAUAUCGCACAGUACCCCUUGAUGACUGUCAAAUAUUUGAUGUAUCUAAUAUUAGAUCAUUUAAAGAAGUUUUAAAUGGGGAAUUGAGUUAUGUCUCAAAAGAGG